This is a long non-coding RNA of Cucumis melo (muskmelon), 1882 nucleotides long. RefSeq lists it as uncharacterized. The transcript has 4 exons. The record is from RefSeq and is a predicted model, not a curated record. NCBI's taxonomy places the organism in Eukaryota, Viridiplantae, Streptophyta, Magnoliopsida, Cucurbitales, Cucurbitaceae.
CUCAAAUUUUCUUUUGUUCCCAAUUUCUAAAAGAAAACCCCAUCUUUUCUCCCCAAACCUUUCCUCUUCGCCCAUUUUCUCCGAUUCCCACGCUCCCCUUCUCGGCCAUGCUCCAUGACUGCGUGAACGAUCCCUCCUGACGGCUGGUCACCGAACGAUCUCACACCACGAACGUUCCACCGUGCACUUUACAAAAUUUCCUUGUUCUCAAUUGCUCCUCAAUGGCUUCUCAAAUCUCCUUUUCCCCCUUGAAUACUGGCGCUAACAUCCCCCUCCUUCGAACUUGGAACUUGGCAGAUAACUAACGGUCUCUUCACUAACGCCAUUGUUGCCGCCGUCAAGAUCUUUGUUGUUUAUUUAACAGCUAGCUAAAGAAGAUUACUUGGAGUUGAAACAAGAAGCAAGUGAACUACAUGAAUAUUCGAAUGUAAAACUAGAUAGAGGUACUCGGUAUCUCGAUGUUCUUACAAAGAAGACACGUAAGCUAGGGUUACCGGGUGAUUUUUGUUGACAUCCCACGUGUAUGAAAUCAUCAAGAGUGGAUUCAAACAUUUGAAAGUACUUUGAUGCCAUAGAUGUUUAUCGUGUACGUAUUUUGUUUAUGUCAAUCUCAUAAUGUUAUUCUGUUUUCUUUGUCUUUCUUGUGUUUAGUACAUCUUUUUCUCUUUUCUCUUAGUGUAUGCAUAUUUUAUUUUGCAUGAGGGUCAAUUUCUUAGCUGAUAUGUAUCAAUAAAUGAUAUAAUAAGGGUCACUUUCUUAGCUGAUAUACAUUAAUAAAUGAUAUAAUGAGGGUCACUUUCAUAGCUGGUAUGUAUUAAUAAAUGCUAUAAUGAUAUAUGUAUAAAAUCAUAAAUGAUGUAAAUAAAUGAUAUGUGUGAGUGCUGAAAGGAAAAGUAGAAACAUAGGGUUUGUUGAUCUUGUUUGGGGCUGACAUUUUAUUAUUUUCAAAUGUGCAAGAGAUUUGAUUGAAAUAGAUUUUGUACUUAAUGAUCUUUAGUACAAAUUUAAAAUAUUCCUCUACUUAUUACCAUAUUAAAUAAUCUCUACCUUUACCUAAUGUUUGGUAUUGCAUUGGUUUUAGAUCCUGAUGUGAGGCUUUUGCAUUUUCUUGGUCUUGCACUUUAUAUUAUCAAGAUAUGAUGUUUGCACUGAUAGGUUUGUUGAUGGAGUUUUUGUUGGAUCAUUAAAAAACUGGAUUACUUGUCAUAUAAUAUCCUUUCCUGCCUUACUUUUCAAUGUUUAGUAUAUUUUUUAUUCCUAAUGUCAUUUUCUAAGUUGUAAUGUAGUCCAUUUUCCUAGGGUUUGCUUCCAUUUUAGCUCCAAUUCGACAAGCCUAUUACCUCUGAGGUUUUAAUUUUCACUCUUCACCGUUGGCCUCCUACUUUGAGUUGCACAUACAUUAGUAUAUUAUUGUGUGAUGAGUUUUUUUUCCUUCUGCUAUGAAUGUUUGAUGAUUCGCUAAUGCAAGGUUAAAAUUAUCAAGUGGAACCCUGAAAAUGAUUUGCUAGCCAUGGUCACGGAAAACAAAAUAUUUUGCUCCACCGUUUCAACUAGCAGAGGUUGUGGACUAUAUCACUUGAUUGAUACAAGGAUCUCAUACAGCCAACUCGAGUUGGAUGAAGUGCGAAUGGAGCUUGCUGAUUUUUUGGGUGGCCAAAUGUGAUUAUAGUGAUAACUAAGUUCUUUUGGGUUAGAUAGACAAGCUUUGUUGAUAUUGGAUAUAGGUGAACUAGUUUUGUUUAUAUUUUACUGAUAUUGGAUAUAGGUGAACUAGUUUUGUUGAUAUUUUGUUGAUAUUGGAUAUAGGUGAAAGACAACUUAUAUAUGUAUGGUUCAUUGAUAUAUAUAUAUAUAUAUGUGUGUGCAAUUUCUUUGGCGGUAA